ACAACAUUCGGACCGUCGCGACGGUCUAUCAAGCAAUAUCACCCGCUCGGUGGGAAAUAUUCUCUUUGUCGU
This 72-nucleotide microRNA precursor is filed under the name Bombyx mori (domestic silkworm). RNAcentral describes it as "mir-2774 microRNA precursor family". It matches the Rfam family "mir-2774 microRNA precursor family". Lineage: Eukaryota; Metazoa; Arthropoda; Insecta; Lepidoptera; Bombycidae. The record is from Rfam by way of RNAcentral.